AGAGUUUGAUCCUGGCUCAGAAUCAACGCUGGCGGCGCGCUAACACAUGCAAGUCGAACGAGAAAGUGGAGCAAUCCAUGAGUACAGUGGCGUACGGGUGAGUAACACGUGGGUAAUCUACCUUUUAGUGAGGAAUAACCCUGGGAAACCGGGGCUAAUACCGCAUAAGCCUGAGAAGGGAAAGUCGAAAGACGCUGAAAGAGGAGCCCGCGGCCGAUUAGCUAGUUGGGAGGUAAGAGCCCACCAAGGCAGAGAUCAGCCGGCCUGAGAGGGCACACGGCCACACUGGCACUGAAACACGGGCCAGACUCCUACGGGAGGCAGCAGUGGGGAAUCUUGCACAAUGGGGGAAACCCUGAUGCAGCGACGCCGCGUGAGCGAUGAAGCCCUUCGGGGUGUAAAGCUCUUUCGUCAGGGAAGAUAGUGACGGUACCUGGAGAAGCAGCUGCGGCUAACUACGUGCCAGCAGCCGCGGUAAUACGUAGGCAGCAAGCGUUGUUCGGAGUUACUGGGCGUAAAGGGUGUGUAGGCGCUUUAAGUUUGGUGUGAAAUCUCCCGGCUCAACCGGGAGGGUGCGCCGAAUACUGAGGGACUAGAGUGGGGAGAGGAAAGUGGAAUUCCUGGUGUAGCGGUGAAAUGCGUAGAUAUCAGGAGGAACACCGGUGGUGUAGACGGCUUUCUGGACCGUAACUGACGCUGAGACACGAAAGCGUGGGUAGCAAACAGGAUUAGAUACCCUAGUAGUCC
Molecule: ribosomal RNA, 747 nt
Filed under: uncultured bacterium
Lineage: Bacteria
Description: bacterial SSU rRNA
Rfam family: Bacterial small subunit ribosomal RNA
Source: RNAcentral